RNAcentral lists this ribosomal RNA (1542 nucleotides) under Shigella boydii. RNAcentral's name for it is "bacterial SSU rRNA". It matches the Rfam family "Bacterial small subunit ribosomal RNA". Lineage: Bacteria; Pseudomonadati; Pseudomonadota; Gammaproteobacteria; Enterobacterales; Enterobacteriaceae. The record is from RNAcentral.
AAAUUGAAGAGUUUGAUCAUGGCUCAGAUUGAACGCUGGCGGCAGGCCUAACACAUGCAAGUCGAACGGUGACAGGAAGCAGCUUGCUGCUUCGCUGACGAGUGGCGGACGGGUGAGUAAUGUCUGGGAAACUGCCUGAUGGAGGGGGAUAACUACUGGAAACGGUAGCUAAUACCGCAUAAUGUCGCAAGACCAAAGAGGGGGACCUUCGGGCCUCUUGCCAUCGGAUGUGCCCAGAUGGGAUUAGCUUGUUGGUGGGGUAACGGCUCACCAAGGCGACGAUCCCUAGCUGGUCUGAGAGGAUGACCAGCCACACUGGAACUGAGACACGGUCCAGACUCCUACGGGAGGCAGCAGUGGGGAAUAUUGCACAAUGGGCGCAAGCCUGAUGCAGCCAUGCCGCGUGUAUGAAGAAGGCCUUCGGGUUGUAAAGUACUUUCAGCGGGGAGGAAGGGAGUAAAGUUAAUACCUUUGCUCAUUGACGUUAUCCGCAGAAGAAGCACCGGCUAACUCCGUGCCAGCAGCCGCGGUAAUACGGAGGGUGCAAGCGUUAAUCGGAAUUACUGGGCGUAAAGCGCACGCAGGCGGUUUGUUAAGUCAGAUGUGAAAUCCCCGGGCUCAACCUGGGAACUGCAUCUGAUACUGGCAAGCUUGAGUCUCGUAGAGGGGGGUAGAAUUCCAGGUGUAGCGGUGAAAUGCGUAGAGAUCUGGAGGAAUACCGGUGGCGAAGGCGGCCCCCUGGACGAAGACUGACGCUCAGGUGCGAAAGCGUGGGGAGCAAACAGGAUUAGAUACCCUGGUAGUCCACGCCGUAAACGAUGUCGACUUGGAGGUUGUGCCCUUGAGGCGUGGCUUCCGGAGCUAACGCGUUAAGUCGACCGCCUGGGGAGUACGGCCGCAAGGUUAAAACUCAAAUGAAUUGACGGGGGCCCGCACAAGCGGUGGAGCAUGUGGUUUAAUUCGAUGCAACGCGAAGAACCUUACCUGGUCUUGACAUCCACGGAAGUUUUCAGAGAUGAGAAUGUGCCUUCGGGAACCGUGAGACAGGUGCUGCAUGGCUGUCGUCAGCUCGUGUUGUGAAAUGUUGGGUUAAGUCCCGCAACGAGCGCAACCCUUAUCCUUUGUUGCCAGCGGUCCGGCCGGGAACUCAAAGGAGACUGCCAGUGAUAAACUGGAGGAAGGUGGGGACGACGUCAAGUCAUCAUGGCCCUUACGACCAGGGCUACACACGUGCUACAAUGGCGCAUACAAAGAGAAGCGACCUCGCGAGAGCAAGCGGACCUCAUAAAGUGCGUCGUAGUCCGGAUUGGAGUCUGCAACUCGACUCCAUGAAGUCGGAAUCGCUAGUAAUCGUGGAUCAGAAUGCCACGGUGAAUACGUUCCCGGGCCUUGUACACACCGCCCGUCACACCAUGGGAGUGGGUUGCAAAAGAAGUAGGUAGCUUAACCUUCGGGAGGGCGCUUACCACUUUGUGAUUCAUGACUGGGGUGAAGUCGUAACAAGGUAACCGUAGGGGAACCUGCGGUUGGAUCACCUCCUUA